GGGCACCCAGGCUUCUUCUCUCGAUCGAUAGUCAACACCAACGGCCAGCGCCUCCGCUGAGCUCCAAAUACAGCUUCCUCCUCCAGCGAGCCCUUCUGCUGGACAACCCACUAGCUCCAUCAACGAGCUCCGCCGAACUUCUCCUCCGCUGAGCAGUUCCGCCGUUCAUGCUCCGUUGAUGAUCCAAAGCUCCAUCAUCACCGCUCCACCGCUAGGACAUCACCACCCAACUGCCUCCGCUAGCAGAAUACCGCCAGCAACAGCUACUCCAUCGGACAACCCAUUAACCGGCUCCGCUGAGCUCCGAGUCUUCCGCCGAACUUCGAUCCGCCGCUGAGCUAGCAUCGAAUCUCCGUCGAGCUACAGGUGAGCAUAGAGCUCCGCUCCGCCACACUUCUUCAGCGGGUACAACUCCGCUAGGCACCGCCAAAGCUUUACUGGCAAGUCCAGCAAGCUUCACCGCCGGCCACAAAACAAACUAAAAUUGACCCACGAUCAACAAUCAUCCUCUUCGUCAAGCACCAGCACCACCGGCAAAAUAGCUCCGCUCCUCUCCGCUGAAGAGUGCUCCGCUAACCAAUCCUGCCUCCGCCAGCCAGGCCUCGCCGCCAACCACAACCAGCGGCUAAAUCACCGCUAAACACCACCGGCGGCUUUGUAGGCCUAACGACCAUUCUCCGCCAGCCUAGCUCCGGCUAUGACUUCCGCCAGCUACCUGCCACCGGCG
RNAcentral lists this long non-coding RNA (727 nucleotides) under Rosa chinensis. Its description in RNAcentral is "sRNA RchiOBHm_Chr4g0404201". The record is from RNAcentral. Lineage: Eukaryota; Viridiplantae; Streptophyta; Magnoliopsida; Rosales; Rosaceae.